GGCCCUGCUCAGUGAGUUUACAUGUUAGAGAGAGUGGGGUAUAGUGACACAGUAACAGAGGGAUUGAGGGCCUGCUCAGUGAGCUUACAUGUUAGAGGGAGUGGGGUAUAGUGACAGUAACAGAGGGAUUGAGGCCCUGCUCAGUGAGCUUACAUGUUAGAGGGAGUGGGGUAUAGUGACACAGUAACAGAGGGAUUGAGGGCCCUGCUCAGUGAGUUUACAUGUUAGAGGGAGUGGGGUAUAGUGACAGUAACAGAGGGAUUGAGGGCCCUGCUCAGUGAGUUUACAUGUUAGAGGGAGUGGGGUAUAGUGACAGUAACAGAGGGAUUGAGGGCCAUGCUCAGUGAGUUUACAUGUUAGAGGGAGUGGGGUAUAGUGACACAGUAACAG
This is a non-coding RNA of Pelobates cultripes (western spadefoot toad), 390 nucleotides long. Lineage: Eukaryota; Metazoa; Chordata; Amphibia; Anura; Pelobatidae. The record is from the annotation of a GenBank genome assembly.